RNAcentral lists this transfer RNA (66 nucleotides) under Nephus sp. 1 EL-2020. RNAcentral's name for it is "tRNA-Ser". The record is from RNAcentral. Lineage: Eukaryota; Metazoa; Arthropoda; Insecta; Coleoptera; Coccinellidae.
AAUCAAUGAACUUGAAUAAGUAUAUAUUUUGAAAAUAUAAUAAAGAAUAAUUAAUUCUAUUGAUUU